UUGGUUAAGUUAGAAAGGGCGCACGGUGGAUGCCUUGGCACUAGGAGCCGAAGAAGGACGGGACUAACACCGAUAUGCUUUGGGGAGCUGUACGUAAGCGUUGAUCCAGAGAUUUCCGAAUGGGGGAACCCACUAUCUUUAGUCGGAUAGUAUCCUUACGUGAAUACAUAGCGUGAGGAAGGCAGACCCAGGGAACUGAAACAUCUAAGUACCUGGAGGAAGAGAAAGAAAAAUCGAUUUCCUGAGUAGCGGCGAGCGAAACGGAAAGAGCCCAAACCAAGAAGCUUGCUUCUUGGGGUUGUAGGACACUCUAUACGGAGUUACAAAAGAAAGUUAUAAAUGAAGCGGUCUGGAAAGGCCCGCCAAAGACGGUAACAGCCCGGUAGUUGAAAUGGCUUUCCCUCCAGAGUGGAUCCUGAGUACGGCGGAACACGUGAAAUUCCGUCGGAAUCCGGGAGGACCAUCUCCCAAGGCUAAAUACUCCCUAGUGACCGAUAGUGAACCAGUACCGUGAGGGAAAGGUGAAAAGCACCCCGGAAGGGGAGUGAAACAGUUCCUGAAACCGUGUGCCUACAAGUAGUUAGAGCCCGUUAAUGGGUGAUAGCGUGCCUUUUGUAGAAUGAACCGGCGAGUUACGAUUUGUUGCAAGGUUAAGCGGAAAAAGCGGAGCCGUAGCGAAAGCGAGUCUGAAUAGGGCGCAUAAGUAACAGGUCGUAGACCCGAAACCAGGUGAUCUACCCAUGUCCAGGAUGAAGGUAAGGUAAUACUUACUGGAGGUCCGAACCCACGCACGUUGAAAAGUGCGGGGAUGAGGUGUGGGUAGCGGAGAAAUUCCAAUCGAACUUGGAGAUAGCUGGUUCUCUCCGAAAUAGCUUUAGGGCUAGCCUCGAGGUAAAGAGUCAUGGAGGUAGAGCACUGUUUGGACUAGGGGCCCUUCUCGGGUUACCGAAUUCAGAUAAACUCCGAAUGCCAUGUACUUAUACUCGGGAGUCAGACUGCGAGUGAUAAGAUCCGUAGUCGAAAGGGAAACAGCCCAGACCACCAGUUAAGGUCCCCAAAUAUAUGUUAAGUGGAAAAGGAUGUGGGGUUGCUUAGACAACCAGGAUGUUGGCUUAGAAGCAGCCACCAUUGAAAGAGUGCGUAAUAGCUCACUGGUCGAGUGACCCCGCGCCGAAAAUGUACCGGGGCUAAACAUAUUACCGAAACUGUGGAUGAACCUCUUUAGAGGUUCGUGGUAGGAGAGCGUUCUAAGGGCGGUGAAGUCAGACCGGAAGGACUGGUGGAGCGCUUAGAAGUGAGAAUGCCGGUAUGAGUAGCGAAAGAAGGGUGAGAAUCCCUUCCACCGAAUAUCUAAGGUUUCCUGAGGAAGGCUCGUCCGCUCAGGGUUAGUCGGGACCUAAGCCGAGGCCGAUAGGCGUAGGCGAUGGACAACAGGUAGAGAUUCCUGUACCAGUGCUAAUUGUUUAACCGAUGGGGUGACACAGAAGGAUAGGGAAUCGCACGAAUGGAAAUGUGCGUCCAAGCAGUGAGUGUGAGAAGUAGGCAAAUCCGCUUCUCGCGAAGCAUGAGCUGUGAUGGGGAAGGAAAUUAAGUACGGAAGUUCCUGAUUUCACGCUGUCAAGAAAAGCCUCUAGGAAGAGUAGUACUGCCCGUACCGCAAACCGACACAGGUAGAUGAGGAGAGAAUCCUAAGGUGAGCGAGAGAACUCUCGUUAAGGAACUCGGCAAAAUGACCCCGUAACUUCGGGAGAAGGGGUGCUCUAUUAGGGUGCAAGCCCGAGAGAGCCGCAGUGAAUAGGCCCAGGCGACUGUUUAGCAAAAACACAGGUCUCUGCAAAACCGUAAGGUGACGUAUAGGGGCUGACGCCUGCCCGGUGCUGGAAGGUUAAGAGGAGUGCUUAGCUUCGGCGAAGGUACGAAUUGAAGCCCCAGUAAACGGCGGCCGUAACUAUAACGGUCCUAAGGUAGCGAAAUUCCUUGUCGGGUAAGUUCCGACCCGCACGAAAGGCGCAACGAUCUGGGCACUGUCUCAACGAGAGACUCGGUGAAAUUAUAGUACCUGUGAAGAUGCAGGUUACCCGCGACAGGACGGAAAGACCCCGUGGAGCUUUACUGCAACCUGAUAUGGAAUGUUUGUACCGCUUGUACAGGAUAGGUAGGAGCCGAAGAGACGUGUGCGCUAGCAUACGAGGAGGCAAUGGUGGGAUACUACCCUGGCUGUAUGACCAUUCUAACCCGCCACGCUUAGCGCGUGGGGAGACAGUGUCAGGUGGGCAGUUUGACUGGGGCGGUCGCCUCCUAAAGAG
This 2306-nucleotide ribosomal RNA is filed under the name Listeria monocytogenes. RNAcentral describes it as "bacterial LSU rRNA". It matches the Rfam family "Bacterial large subunit ribosomal RNA", at positions 1 to 2297 of the family's 2925-position model. The record is from RNAcentral. Lineage: Bacteria; Bacillati; Bacillota; Bacilli; Caryophanales; Listeriaceae.